RNAcentral lists this small nuclear RNA (79 nucleotides) under Rattus norvegicus (Norway rat). Its description in RNAcentral is "7SK RNA". It matches the Rfam family "7SK RNA", at positions 14 to 92 of the family's 331-position model. From Rfam's summary of the family: 7SK was discovered as an abundant small nuclear RNA in the mid-70s but a possible function has only recently been suggested. Two independent studies have found that 7SK RNA binds the CDK9/cyclin T complex (known as elongation factor P-TEFb). The record is from Rfam by way of RNAcentral. Lineage: Eukaryota; Metazoa; Chordata; Mammalia; Rodentia; Muridae.
AUGUGGCUGUGGCAUUUGUCACCUCAUUGUUUGCCAUGAUUGAUCCAGGUGAUCUGAUUGACUAGUCAUUUGUCCUCUU